RNAcentral lists this ribosomal RNA (687 nucleotides) under uncultured delta proteobacterium. RNAcentral's name for it is "bacterial SSU rRNA". It matches the Rfam family "Bacterial small subunit ribosomal RNA", at positions 1 to 666 of the family's 1533-position model. The record is from RNAcentral. Lineage: Bacteria; Deltaproteobacteria.
UAGAGUUUGAUCCUGGCUCAGAAUGAACGCUGGCGGCGUGCUUAACACAUGCGAGUCGUACGAGAACUCCUUAGCUUGCUAAGGAUAGUAAAGUGGCGCACGGGUGAGUAACGCGUGGGUAAUCUACCCUGGAAAUCGGGAUAACAUCGCGAAAGUGAUGCUAAUACCGAAUGAUAUCUAAUUUGCUUUGGCUUUUUAGAUCAAAGGUGGCCUCUAUUUAUAAGCUACUGUUUUGGGAUGAGCUCGCGUACCAUUAGCUUGUUGGUAGGGUAAUGGCCUACCAAAGCUACGAUGGUUAGCUGGUCUGAGAGGAUGAUCAGCCACACUGGAACUGACACACGGUCCAGACUCCUACGGGAGGCAGCAGUGAGGAAUUUUGCGCAAUGGGGGAAACCCUGACGCAGCAACGCCGCGUGAGUGAUGAAGGCUUUCGGGUCGUAAAGCUCUGUCAAGUGGGAAGAAAAAGAAAAGUUAUAAUAUGACUUUUCUCUGACGGUACCACUAAAGGAAGCACCGGCUAACUCCGUGCCAGCAGCCGCGGUAAUACGGGGGGUGCAAGCGUUAUUCGGAAUUAUUGGGCGUAAAGGGCGCGCAGGCGGUUACUUAAGUCAGAUGUGAAAGCCCGGGGCUUAACCUCGGAAGUGCAUUUGAAACUAAGUAACUUGAGUAUGGGAGAGGGAAGUGGAA